GGAUUGUGGCUCAGUAGCAGAGCACUUGCCUAGCAUGUGUGGGGCACUGGGUUCGAUCCCCAGCACCA
Molecule: transfer RNA, 68 nt
Filed under: Marmota monax (woodchuck)
Lineage: Eukaryota; Metazoa; Chordata; Mammalia; Rodentia; Sciuridae
Description: tRNA.Ala
Source: RNAcentral